RNAcentral lists this ribosomal RNA (468 nucleotides) under uncultured bacterium. RNAcentral describes it as "partial 16S ribosomal RNA". It matches the Rfam family "Bacterial small subunit ribosomal RNA", at positions 28 to 507 of the family's 1533-position model. The record is from RNAcentral.
GACGAACGCUGGCGGCGUGCUUAACACAUGCAAGUCGAACGGAAAGGCCCUGCUUUUGUGGGGUGCUCGAGUGGCGAACGGGUGAGUAACACGUGAGUAACCUGCCCUUGACUUUGGGAUAACUUCAGGAAACUGGGGCUAAUACCGGAUAGGAGCUCCUGCUGCAUGGUGGGGGUUGGAAAGUUUCGGCGGUUGGGGAUGGACUCGCGGCUUAUCAGCUUGUUGGUGGGGUAGUGGCUUACCAAGGCUUUGACGGGUAGCCGGCCUGAGAGGGUGACCGGCCACAUUGGGACUGAGAGACGGCGCAGACUCCUACGGGAGGCAGCAGUGGGGAAUAUUGCACAAUGGGCGGAAGCCUGAUGCAGCGACGCCGCGUGCGGGAUGACGGCCUUCGGGUUGUAAACCGCUUUCGCCUGUGACGAAGAGUGAGUGACGGUAAUGGGUAAAGAAGCACCGGCUAACUACGUG